Anarrhichthys ocellatus (wolf-eel) is the source of this 1570-nucleotide long non-coding RNA. RefSeq lists it as uncharacterized. Lineage: Eukaryota; Metazoa; Chordata; Actinopteri; Perciformes; Anarhichadidae. The transcript is spliced from 4 exons. The record is from RefSeq and is a predicted model, not a curated record.
UUACACAACACAAACUUGUCCAUGUGUACAUUGCUUCUUCCUCCACAGUGUUUCCUUGCUGAGCUGCAGCAGAUUAACAUCAACUGUGAAUUUUGCACUAAAGACUUCAGAGAACAUCCUCUUUAUUUGACUUCACUGGUUUGACUUAACUUAACAUUUCAGAGUUGGCUUGCUUCAUACUGUGAGAGAGAGAGAACAGGAAAUAAACUUGAAUUUGGUAGCCAAGUAUGAUUCAUAGACUGUACGGACUGGUUUACCCUCCCACUGGGUGUGUGUGUGUACUCGUAUAAUGGUCCCAACAAGCAUGACUUGCACUUUAUUUUCCGUUCAUCUUCGGACUGACGCUUUGUUCAGCUCUGCAUCACCUCCAGGCUCAGCCGAUACAAAUCAGCCGCAGAACCAUGGCUACGGUGUUUAUUGAAUAUUGUGGCGGAUGAGGUUACUCAUCCCGCUACAGGGCACUAGCCGGUGAGCUCGAGAGGAUUCCUGGUGUAAAGGUGACUGGACAAGUCGGGCGGUCAGGAAGCUUUGAGGUGAAGGUGAAUGGUCAGCUGAUCUUCUCCAAGCUUCAGAAGGGAAAGUUUCCUGAUCCUAAAGAGGUGGCGGAGAAGGUGAAGAACUGCAUUAAGAAUGGCCAUCAAGGAGGAAAAGGGGCGCAACAUCAAUCCAGCUAUCAUUAGAAGAUGGAGGUUGAAACGUCAGCUGUAUUCACACUGUAAGAACAACGGUUUGUUUCUUUUCAUGGUUCAGGACACAUUCGCUCACGGCUGCUAAUCUGAAUACUAAAGGGGAUUCAAACAUUAAAAUAUGACAUUAAGACAUUUUCAAAAACGUAAUUUUGGACCAAAAUCAAAACCUUAAAGUGUCGCCGUCAGCCAUGAGAAGAUCAGACCGUAUGUCUUCACUGUGAAUACAGACAAAGACGAGAAGAUGAUGAGGGCCACUCUGAGGAGCCAGGCACUGAUCUGCACUUCUGUUUAUGAAUGUGCACACUAAAAGUCUUGCAGUGUGUACACGAUGAAAGUCUAGAAGCUUUUCAGCUGACUGGAGCCUGAGGCACUGCUCUCGUCAUGGCCGUCUGAUAUUUACUCAUAAAUAAAUCGUCUCUACUGCUGCAUUACUCGGGAAUCUUUAUCGAGCCAAAAAUAUAUGGUUGUAUGGUGAAUAUGAAGCUGCCACCGGCAGCUUGUUAGCUUAGCAUAAAGAAUGAAAAAGGGAAAUCAGCUCUCUCAUGGCAACAAAAUCUGCCUUCUAUCACUUCACUUCUUUUCUAACAUAUCAAAUAUAUUUUAUAUUCAUACUUUUUCAAUUAUAUACAUGGACUAUUACCUGGAUGAUGUUUUGUAAUAAAGAGCACUGCCAUCUCUGUUAUUCUAGCAUGUUACCAGCUAAGAUGACCAUUAAACCAAUGACAAAUGUUAAAUAUGUGAUAUUUAAUUUGACUUGGAGCAUAUAGUUGAACCUUUUUAAAAACAACUUACAGUAUUGUUAUAAUGCUGUCAUCUAAUUUGUAAUCAAUUCCAACAAAACAUAAUUUCCUGAAGUGCAAUAAAAUAUCUUUGAAAAAUAA